Molecule: small nuclear RNA, 65 nt
Organism: Cercocebus atys (sooty mangabey)
Lineage: Eukaryota; Metazoa; Chordata; Mammalia; Primates; Cercopithecidae
Gene: U7
Rfam family: U7 small nuclear RNA
About the family: Animal histone pre-mRNAs are spliced by a different mechanism than nuclear pre-mRNAs and self-splicing introns. This processing involves the U7 snRNP, which contains only one RNA species: U7. The 5' end of U7 RNA is thought to base-pair to a conserved spacer element downstream of the cleavage site in histone pre-mRNA.
Source: Ensembl
AAAAGAAUACGGCUUUUUUAGAAUUUGUCUAGGAGGUUUUCUGGUUUUCACCAGAACCAACCCUU